AUUGAACGCUGGCGGCAUGCUUUACACAUGCAAGUCGAACGGCAGCGCGGGCUUCGGCCUGGCGGCGAGUGGCGAACGGGUGAGUAAUGCAUCGGAACGUGCCCAGGAGUGGGGGAUAGCCCGGCGAAAGCCGGAUUAAUACCGCAUACGACCUGAGGGUGAAAGCGGGGGACCGAAAGGCCUCGCGCUAUUGGAGCGGCCGAUGUCGGAUUAGCUAGUUGGUGGGGUAAAGGCUUACCAAGGCGACGAUCCGUAGCUAGUCUGAGAGGACGACCAGCCACACUGGGACUGAGACACGGCCCAGACUCCUACGGGAGGCAGCAGUGGGGAAUUUUGGACAAUGGGGGCAACCCUGAUCCAGCCAUGCCGCGUGCGGGAAGAAGGCCUUCGGGUUGUAAACCGCUUUUGUUCGGGAAGAAAUCCUCUGGGCUAAUACCCCGGGGGGAUGACGGUACCGGAAGAAUAAGCACCGGCUAACUACGUG
This 484-nucleotide ribosomal RNA is filed under the name uncultured bacterium. RNAcentral's name for it is "partial 16S ribosomal RNA". It matches the Rfam family "Bacterial small subunit ribosomal RNA", at positions 29 to 507 of the family's 1533-position model. The record is from RNAcentral.